GACGAACGCUGGCGGCGUGCUUAACACAUGCAAGUCGAACGGAAAGGCCCUGCUUGCAGGGUGCUCGAGUGGCGAACGGGUGAGUAACACGUGGGUGAUCUGCCCCUUACUUUGGGAUAAGCCCGGGAAACUGGGUCUAAUACUGGAUAGGACCAUGCUGUAGGUGGUGUGGUGGAAAGAUUAGUUUCGGUAAGGGAUGAGCUCGCGGCCUAUCAGCUUGUUGGUGGGGUAAUGGCCUACCAAGGCGUCGACGGGUAGCCGGCCUGAGAGGGUGGACGGCCACAUUGGGACUGAGAUACGGCCCAGACUCCUACGGGGGGCAGCAGUGGGGAAUAUUGCACAAUGGGCGCAAGCCUGAUGCAGCGACGCCGCGUGGGGGACGACGGCCUUCGGGUUGUAAACUCCUUUCAGCCAUGACGAAGCCCUUGUGGUGACGGUAGUGGUAGAAGAAGCACCGGCUAACUACGUG
This 469-nucleotide ribosomal RNA is filed under the name uncultured bacterium. Its description in RNAcentral is "partial 16S ribosomal RNA". It matches the Rfam family "Bacterial small subunit ribosomal RNA", at positions 28 to 507 of the family's 1533-position model. The record is from RNAcentral.